GUGAAGAGGGCCGUGAAGAAAAGAAAACAGAGCAUGUGAUUUAGCCCGUGCUUCUCCCCCACCCACUCCCCGCCCCACCCCAGGAGCCUUUUGGCAACCCCUGGAGAAGUUUCUGGGUGUCACAAGCAGAGGGAAGGCGCUGCUGGCAUCUGGUGGGUGGAGCCCAGGAGGCUGCCACACAUCCCAUCGCCCACCGGACACCCCCCACGACAGUGUCAAUGGUGGCGAGAGGGAGGAAGCUCCGUCUGCCAGGGAAGACCUCCCGGAGGAGGUGAUGGAAGAGCCGAGACUGAGCUCCAGCACAAGUCCCUGGAGGAAGCGACGUGGAGCGCUGGUGUGAGUCCCAGGCCCACUGCCUUGGGAGCUGCAGAAAGCCGCCUGCUUGCUCAACACCACGUGGGCUCUCCAAGGAAACGUCAUCCCAGUUCCGUGGGCAACCUCGCUGGAGAGGCGAGUUCUUUUGUACAAGGCUUCCAGAAAGAUCUGAGUCAACAGGCUCCCCCGAGACAGCCAGGGUGGCAGCAGGCCUCUGACAGGCAGCCCAACCUGCAGGAGCCCUGCCAGCCUGGACAUGUGCUUGUUCCAAAAGGGUGGAAAAGAUCCAGGUGGCCGACUCAUCCGCACAGAAGGAGACGGCCCAGAACCGGCAGCCAUCUUCCAUCUUCCCUCAAAUGUGCGCCUUCCCAGCACCGAGCGCUGCUGCCUUCGGCUCUGAAUUUCUCGCCUGAGCUGAAAACACCCCCCUGGGUUCCCAGAGUCCCCAGAGAGAGGCCCUGUGUCAAAAUCCUGCUCUCGAGGACAGGUGUCAGACCCAGCUUCUGAGAAACUCCACUUCACAAGAAGGGGCGUUAUGGGAAAUUUGCAGGAAUACAUUUUUAGUAAAUAAACAAAUUUUCUAAAAAUGAUAAUUUGCCCA
RNAcentral lists this long non-coding RNA (916 nucleotides) under Sus scrofa (pig). RNAcentral's name for it is "lncRNA (ENSSSCG00015044803.1)". Lineage: Eukaryota; Metazoa; Chordata; Mammalia; Artiodactyla; Suidae. The record is from RNAcentral.